RNAcentral lists this transfer RNA (73 nucleotides) under Desulfobaculum bizertense DSM 18034. RNAcentral's name for it is "Desulfovibrio bizertensis DSM 18034 tRNA". It matches the Rfam family "tRNA". From Rfam's summary of the family: Transfer RNA (tRNA) molecules are approximately 80 nucleotides in length. The record is from Rfam by way of RNAcentral. Lineage: Bacteria; Pseudomonadati; Thermodesulfobacteriota; Desulfovibrionia; Desulfovibrionales; Desulfovibrionaceae.
GUGGGUGUAGCUCAGUUGGCAGAGCACUUGGUUGUGGCCCAAGGGGCCGAGGGUUCAAGUCCCUUCACCCACC